Molecule: long non-coding RNA, 290 nt
Filed under: Homo sapiens (human)
Lineage: Eukaryota; Metazoa; Chordata; Mammalia; Primates; Hominidae
Description: HSALNT0313306
Source: RNAcentral
CAAAGAGGUGCUAACUAGACAAAAACCAAGCGUCCACCUCAGAACACAGGAUCAAGCUUGCAACCAUGAAUAUGAAAGACUAUAUGUUUAAGAUGGUGGGAGCAGAAAAACAGGAGCCUGGGGAAUUGACAACAUCAUGAAUAUGCUGCACCAUUCUGGACCACUGCAGUCAGAUAACUCCUUAUAUGAGAAAAAUGGGUAACCUACUGGAUUAAGCACCUAUAGGUCGUGUUCUCUGUUGAAUGUAACCAAAAACAAACCUAAUUAAUUCAAAACUCUGUAGAAUUACA